CACCAUCUGCUCCAGUUUUUGCCAUCUAACACAGGAAGAGUUGUGACAUAAUUCCCUGUUGUUUGAGCCAUUUCUUGUUUGCAGCAGAAAGCUUUGUUGAUCUACUUAAGGCUCUUGAUGCCAAAUGUUAGAGAAUUGUGUAAGGAAAAGAGAAGAAAGUGAAGAAGAGUAAGGUAGAAGAAUAGAGGAAUUCUUGUAAUGUAUAUUCAUAUACUUCAAAAGAUCACAAGCUAAUAUCCUACUUUCUAUAAUAAGAUUAACAAAUUUUAACUACUUGCUAUAUCUAGAAACUACAAACUAACUCAACUAACUCUAAUGAUUACACUUAUUAACACCAAUCACAACAUACACAUUCAUAAAAUCUUCUCAUAGAAUCAACACCCAAAAACACACCCCAAGCAUCCUGAAAAUCACGAUAACCCAAUAAAAUAUUACACCAUCCAACAUUACAAAAAAUCUUAUAUGAAGCCAGAAUCAAAUUAAAAAAAGCAGUGAACACGUGGAGUCAUAGACAAGGUGCUAAGAAGAGAAGAUAACGAUGUUGUAAGGAGGACCAACUAUGUGCAAAGUAUCUGGACUUGAGAAUUAAAAGUAUCCUUCACAAACAGGCAGAAUCAUCCAUUGCUGUCGGUGUUGCAACAGUGGUUGCUGAUUCUUCAGCGUAGCUCUGCCAGGUCUUGCCACACAACCACGAAGGAGCCGAGUUGAACCAGUCCAGUUGGAUAUGGGGGUAACCAAAAGCUUCCUCUAACCUCUGUAAACACCAAACCCGGUUACCCCAAACCAUCACCGCGGUUGUGUAGGGCUGCAAACCUCGCCGGAAGUGGCGCCUGUUCACGGAGAGGAGGAGGUGAAAUCGGCACGACGGCCUGGACACCCGGUGACAGCGCCUUGGGUUGUUCCAAACGUCUGGGUUGAAGCACCGCUCAUCGUUGCCUUAUCCCUUUGCUAUCGAUGUUGCUGUGGAUGCUCAGGGCCGCUAGUCAAGGUGGGUUGCUGCUCUAGGGAUUUAAUCCCCUUGCCCCAUUGUAUUUUGCUAACUGUGGAGGAGGGUAACACGCUGCCACCCUUUAAUUCUCCUUUUCUUUUUUU
Molecule: long non-coding RNA, 1092 nt
Filed under: Lupinus angustifolius (narrow-leaved blue lupine)
Lineage: Eukaryota; Viridiplantae; Streptophyta; Magnoliopsida; Fabales; Fabaceae
Description: long non-coding RNA (LANG_LNC001684)
Source: RNAcentral